Molecule: ribosomal RNA, 254 nt
Filed under: uncultured bacterium
Lineage: Bacteria
Description: partial 16S ribosomal RNA
Rfam family: Bacterial small subunit ribosomal RNA
Source: RNAcentral
UACGGGGGGAGCAAGCGUUGUUCGGAUUUACUGGGCGUAAAGGGCGCGUAGGCGGCCACUGCAAGUCAGUUGUGAAAUCUCCGGGCUUAACCCGGAAAGGUCAACUGAUACUGCAGAGCUAGAGUGCAGAAGGGGCAACUGGAAUUCUCGGUGUAGCGGUGAAAUGCGUAGAUAUCGAGAGGAACACCUGCGGCGAAGGCGGGUUGCUGGGCUGACACUGACGCUGAGGCGCGAAAGCCAGGGGAGCGAACGGG